GCUCAACUUUAAAAUCUGGCUGUUUUACAGUCCGAGUUGUAGUCUCGAGAAAUGUUUUCCGCGUUAAACCGUGUAUGAGUCUGUUGGAACACAGCGUCAUAGAGGGUGAGAACCCCGUUCAUGACACGGCUUUUAAUGCUUUGUGAUACAUUUUCGAUGAGUCGAGUUGUUUGGGAAUGCAGCUCAAAUUGGGUGGUAAAUUCCAUCUAAAGCUAAAUAUUGGCGAGAGACCGAUAGCAAACAAGUACCGUGAGGGAAAGAUGAAAAGCACUUUGGAAAGAGAGUUAAAAGUACGUGAAAUUGUCGAAAGGGAAACGCUUGAAGUCAGACGUGCACGGGAUUUAUCUCAUUGCAGGCCAACAUCGGUUUCGCGAGUCGGAUAAAGGUACAAGGAAGGUAGCAGUUUCGGCUGUGUUAUAGCCUUGUACUGAAU
Molecule: ribosomal RNA, 433 nt
Filed under: Erythrobasidium cf. hasegawianum MA82.1
Lineage: Eukaryota; Fungi; Basidiomycota; Cystobasidiomycetes; Erythrobasidiales; Erythrobasidiaceae
Description: eukaryotic LSU rRNA
Rfam family: Eukaryotic large subunit ribosomal RNA
Source: RNAcentral